RNAcentral lists this ribosomal RNA (462 nucleotides) under uncultured bacterium. RNAcentral's name for it is "partial 16S ribosomal RNA". It matches the Rfam family "Bacterial small subunit ribosomal RNA", at positions 28 to 507 of the family's 1533-position model. The record is from RNAcentral.
GACGAACGCUGGCGGCGUGCUUAACACAUGCAAGUCGAACGGAAAGGCCCUUCGGGGUACUCGAGUGGCGAACGGGUGAGUAACACGUGGGUGAUCUGCCCUGCACUUUGGGAUAAGCCUGGGAAACUGGGUCUAAUACCGGAUAGGACCACGGCAUUCAUGUGCUGUGGUGGAAAGCUUUUGCGGUGUGGGAUGGGCCCGCGGCCUAUCAGCUUAUUGGUGGGGUAAUGGCCUACCAAGGCGACGACGGGUAGCCGGCCUGAGAGGGUGACCGGCCACACUGGGACUGAGAUACGGCCCAGACUCCUACGGGAGGCAGCAGUGGGGAAUAUUGCACAAUGGGCGCAAGCCUGAUGCAGCGACGCCGCGUGAGGGAUGACGGCCUUCGGGUUGUAAACCUCUUUCGCCAGGGACGAAGCGCAAGUGACGGUACCUGGAGAAGAAGGACCGGCCAACUACGUG